CCUACGGGUGGCAGCAGUGGGGAAUAUUGGACAAUGGGGGCAACCCUGAUCCAGCCAUGCCGCGUGUGUGAAGAAGGCCCUCGGGGUGUAAAGCACUUUCAGUGAGGAAGAACGCCUGGUGGUUAAUACCCAUCAGGAAAGACAUCACUCACAGAAGAAGCACCGGCUAACUCCGUGCCAGCAGCCGCGGUAAUACGGAGGGUGCGAGCGUUAAUCGGAAUUACUGGGCGUAAAGGGCGCGUAGGUGGCUUGAUAAGCCGGUUGUGAAAGCCCCGGGCUCAACCUGGGAACGGCAUCCGGAACUGUCAAGCUAGAGUGCAGGAGAGGAAGGUAGAAUUCCCGGUGUAGCGGUGAAAUGCGUAGAGAUCGGGAGGAAUACCAGUGGCGAAGGCGGCCUUCUGGACUGACACUGACACUGAGGUGCGAAAGCGUGGGUAGCAAACAGGAUUAGAUACCCGUGUAGUC
RNAcentral lists this ribosomal RNA (465 nucleotides) under Vreelandella stevensii. RNAcentral describes it as "partial 16S ribosomal RNA". It matches the Rfam family "Bacterial small subunit ribosomal RNA", at positions 338 to 795 of the family's 1533-position model. Lineage: Bacteria; Pseudomonadati; Pseudomonadota; Gammaproteobacteria; Oceanospirillales; Halomonadaceae. The record is from RNAcentral.